RNAcentral lists this ribosomal RNA (253 nucleotides) under uncultured bacterium. Its description in RNAcentral is "partial 16S ribosomal RNA". It matches the Rfam family "Bacterial small subunit ribosomal RNA", at positions 524 to 776 of the family's 1533-position model. The record is from RNAcentral.
UACAGAGGGUGCGAGCGUUAAUCGGAAUUACUGGGCGUAAAGCGCACGUAGGUGGCGACGUAAGUCGGGUGUGAAAGCCCCGGGCUCAACCUGGGAAUUGCAUUCGAGACUGCAUUGCUGGAGUACGGAAGAGGAGGGCGGAAUUCCCGGUGUAGCGGUGAAAUGCGUAGAUAUCGGGAAGAACACCUAUGGCGAAGGCAGCUCUCUGGGACGGUACUGACGCUGAGACGCGAAAGCGUGGGGAGCGAACAGG